GACGAACGCUGGCGGCGUGCCUAACACAUGCAAGUCGAGCGAGGAGAGUUCCUUUGGGAACAAACCUAGCGGCGGACGGGUGAGUAACACGUGGGCAACCUGCCUUGUAGAGGGAAUAGCCUUCCGAAAAGGAAGAUUAAUACCGCAUAAUAUUACAGUUUCGCAUGAAACAGUAAUUAAAGGAGCAAUCCGCUACAAGAUGGGCCCGCGGCGCAUUAGCUAGUUGGUGAGGUAACGGCUCACCAAGGCGACGAUGCGUAGCCGACCUGAGAGGGUGAUCGGCCACAUUGGGACUGAGACACGGCCCAGACUCCUACGGGAGGCAGCAGUGGGGAAUAUUGCACAAUGGGGGAAACCCUGAUGCAGCAACGCCGCGUGAGUGAUGAAGGUUUUCGGAUCGUAAAGCUCUGUCUUCGGGGACGAUAAUGACGGUACCCGAGGAGGAAGCCACGGCUAACUACGUG
Molecule: ribosomal RNA, 464 nt
Filed under: uncultured bacterium
Lineage: Bacteria
Description: bacterial SSU rRNA
Rfam family: Bacterial small subunit ribosomal RNA
Source: RNAcentral